UCUCGGCUUAUCACCGGCAGUCCCCUUAGAGUGCCCAACUGAAUGCUGGCAACUAAGGACAAGGGUUGCGCUCGUUGCGGGACUUAACCCAACAUCUCACGACACGAGCUGAUGACAGCCAUGCAGCACCUGUCUCACGGUUCCCGAAGGCACCAAUCCAUCUCUGGAAAGUUCCGUGGAUGUCAAGACCAGGUAAGGUUCUUCGCGUUGCAUCGAAUUGAACCACAUCAUCCACCGCUUGUGCGGGCCCCCGUCAAUCCCUUUGAGUUUUAAUCUUGCGACCGUACUCCCCAGGCGGGCAACUUCACGCGUUAGCUGCGUUACUAAGGGAGUUCAUCCCCCAACAACUAGUUGCCAUCGUUUAGGGCGUGGACUAC
Molecule: unclassified non-coding RNA, 377 nt
Filed under: uncultured Gammaproteobacteria bacterium
Lineage: Bacteria; Pseudomonadati; Pseudomonadota; Gammaproteobacteria
Description: contains 16S-23S intergenic spacer region
Source: RNAcentral